RNAcentral lists this ribosomal RNA (497 nucleotides) under uncultured bacterium. Its description in RNAcentral is "partial 16S ribosomal RNA". It matches the Rfam family "Bacterial small subunit ribosomal RNA", at positions 28 to 507 of the family's 1533-position model. The record is from RNAcentral.
GAUGAACGCUGGCGGCGUGCCUAAUACAUGCAAGUCGAGCGAACGGACGAGAAGCUUGCUUUUCUGAUGUUAGCGGCGGACGGGUGAGUAACACGUGGAUAACCUACCUAUAAGACUGGGAUAACUUCGGGAAACCGGAGCUAAUACCGGAUAAUAUUUUGAACCGCAUGGUUCAAAAGUGUAAGACGGUCUUGCUGUCACUUAUAGAUGGAUCCGCGCUGCAUUAGCUAGUUGGUAAGGUAACGGCUUACCAAGGCAACGAUGCAUAGCCGACCUGAGAGGGUGAUCGGCCACACUGGAACUGAGACACGGUCCAGACUCCUACGGGAGGCAGCAGUAGGGAAUCUUCCGCAAUGGGCGAAAGCCUGACGGAGCAACGCCGCGUGAGUGAUGAAGGUCUUCGGAUCGUAAAACUCUGUUAUUAGGGAAGAACAUAUGUGUAAGUAACUGUGCACAUCUUGACGGUACCUAAUCAGAAAGCCACGGCUAACUACGUG